ACUCAAAUGAAUUGACGGGGGCCCGCACAAGCGGCGGAGCAUGUGGAUUAAUUCGAUGCAACGCGAAGAACCUUACCUGGGUUUGACAUGCACAGGAUUGCGGCAGAGAUGUCGUUUCCCUUGUGGCCUGUGUGCAGGUGGUGCAUGGCUGUCGUCAGCUCGUGUCGUGAGAUGUUGGGUUAAGUCCCGCAACGAGCGCAACCCUUGUUCCAUGUUGCCAGCACGUCGUGGUGGGGACUCAUGGGAGACUGCCGGGGUCAACUCGGAGGAAGGUGGGGAUGACGUCAAGUCAUCAUGCCCCUUAUGUCCAGGGCUUCACACAUGCUACAAUGGCUCAUACAGAGGGCUGCGAGACCGUGAGGUGGAGCGAAUCCCUUAAAGUGAGUCUCAGUUCGGAUCGGGGUCUGCAACUCGACCCCGUGAAGUUGGAGUCGCUAGUAAUCGCAGAUCAGCAUUGCUGCGGUGAAUACGUUCCCGGGCCUUGUACACACCGCCCGU
This 498-nucleotide ribosomal RNA is filed under the name uncultured bacterium. RNAcentral describes it as "partial 16S ribosomal RNA". It matches the Rfam family "Bacterial small subunit ribosomal RNA", at positions 899 to 1397 of the family's 1533-position model. The record is from RNAcentral.